GACGAACGCUGGCGGCGUGCCUAAUACAUGCAAGUAGAACGCACAGAUUAUACCGUAGCUUGCUCCACCAUAGACUGUGAGUUGCGAACGGGUGAGUAACGCGUCGGUAACCUGCCUGGUAGCGGGGGAUAACUAUUGGAAACGAUAGCUAAUACCGCAUAAUAUUGAUUAUUGCAUGAUAAUUGAUUGAAAGAUGCUAUUGCAUCACUACCAGAUGGACCUGCGUUGUAUUAGCUAGUAGGUGAGGUAACGGCUGACCUAGGCGACGAUACACAGGCGACCUGAGAAGGUGAACGGCCACACUGGGACUGAGACAACGCCCAGACUCCUAAGGGAGGCGGCAGUAAGGAAUCUUCGUCAAUGGACGAAAGUCUGGCCGUGCAACGCCGCGUGGGUGAAGAAGGUUUUCGGAUCGAGAAGCUCUGUUGAAGGAGAAGAACGAGUGGGAGAGUGAAAAGUUCACCCUGUGACGGUAUCUUACCAGAAAGCGACGGCUAACUACGUG
RNAcentral lists this ribosomal RNA (505 nucleotides) under uncultured bacterium. RNAcentral describes it as "partial 16S ribosomal RNA". It matches the Rfam family "Bacterial small subunit ribosomal RNA", at positions 28 to 507 of the family's 1533-position model. The record is from RNAcentral.